AUUCUACUCCCUCCGUUGCACAAUACAUGCCUUCUAUUUGUCAAAAUAUAUAUGUAUCUAGACAUGUUUUAGUAUAUAGGUACAUCCAUUUUUAAACAAAUGGAAGUCAAGUAUUUUGGAACGGAGGGAGUACACA
Molecule: non-coding RNA, 136 nt
Organism: Triticum aestivum (bread wheat)
Lineage: Eukaryota; Viridiplantae; Streptophyta; Magnoliopsida; Poales; Poaceae
Source: Rfam